Molecule: ribosomal RNA, 434 nt
Filed under: uncultured bacterium
Lineage: Bacteria
Description: bacterial SSU rRNA
Rfam family: Bacterial small subunit ribosomal RNA
Source: RNAcentral
AACGCGAAGAACCUUACCUGGCCUUGACAUCCAUGGAAUUCUGCAGAGAUGUGGAAGUGCCUUCGGGAACCAUGAGACAGGUGCUGCAUGGCUGUCGUCAGCUCGUGUCGUGAGAUGUUGAGUUAAGUCCCGCAACGAGCGCAACCCUUGUCCUUAGUUGCCAUCAUUCAGUUGGGAACUCUAAGGAGACCGCCGGUGACAAACCGGAGGAAGGUGGGGAUGACGUCAAGUCAUCAUGGCCUUUAUGGCCAGGGCUACACACGUGCUACAAUGGCAGGUACAGAGGGAAGCCAACGCGCGAGCGGGAGCCAAUCCCAGAAAGCCUGUCGUAGUCCGGAUCGGAGUCUGCAACUCGACUCUGUGAAGUUGGAAUCGCUAGUAAUCGCAGAUCAGCAUUGCUGCGGUGAAUACGUUCCCGGGUCUUGUACACACCG